CCACGGGAUGCAGCAGCAGGGAAUAUUGCACAAUGGACGAAAGUCUGAUGCAGCGACGCCGCGUGGAUGAUGAAGGCCUUCGGGUUGUAAAAUCCUUUUCAGGGAGAAGAGGAAGGACGGUAUCCCUGGAAUAAGCGUCGGCUAACUACGUGCCAGCAGCCGCGGUAAUACGUAGGACGCAAGCGUUAUCCGGAUUUACUGGGCGUAAAGCGUCUGUAGGCGGCAAGGUAAGUUUGAUGUGAAAGCUCCGGGCUUAACUCGGAGAGUGCAUUGAAUACUGCCUAGCUAGAGGGGAUCAGAGGAAAGCGGAAUUUCCGGUGUAGCGGUAAAAUGCGCAGAUAUCGGAAAUAACACCAGUGGCGAAGGCGGCUUUCUGGGAUCAACCUGACGCUGAGAGACGAAAGUUAGGGUAGCGAACAGGAUUAGAUACCCCUGUAGUC
Molecule: ribosomal RNA, 440 nt
Filed under: uncultured bacterium
Lineage: Bacteria
Description: partial 16S ribosomal RNA
Rfam family: Bacterial small subunit ribosomal RNA
Source: RNAcentral